Molecule: non-coding RNA, 45 nt
Organism: Schistosoma rodhaini
Lineage: Eukaryota; Metazoa; Platyhelminthes; Trematoda; Strigeidida; Schistosomatidae
Source: Rfam
AUCCAGCUGACGAAUUCCAAAUAGGACGAAACGCGCGUCCUGGAU